GGAAAUGACAUCCGGAAUGGAGUGGAGAGGUGAGCGUCAGUAGUUCAAGGUCCUUCCUCCUUGAAAUUCUAGGAUUUCCUUCUUGG
RNAcentral lists this microRNA precursor (86 nucleotides) under Eptesicus fuscus (big brown bat). RNAcentral's name for it is "microRNA efu-mir-9340 precursor". Lineage: Eukaryota; Metazoa; Chordata; Mammalia; Chiroptera; Vespertilionidae. The record is from miRBase by way of RNAcentral.